Molecule: ribosomal RNA, 33 nt
Filed under: Dermanyssus hirundinis
Lineage: Eukaryota; Metazoa; Arthropoda; Arachnida; Mesostigmata; Dermanyssidae
Description: partial 28S ribosomal RNA
Source: RNAcentral
UGAAAUCAAGUGUGACGACCCCCUGAAUUUAAG